RNAcentral lists this transfer RNA (82 nucleotides) under Echinostoma caproni. It matches the Rfam family "tRNA". From Rfam's summary of the family: Transfer RNA (tRNA) molecules are approximately 80 nucleotides in length. Their secondary structure includes four short double-helical elements and three loops (D, anti-codon, and T loops). Further hydrogen bonds mediate the characteristic L-shaped molecular structure. tRNAs have two regions of fundamental functional importance: the anti-codon, which is responsible for specific mRNA codon recognition, and the 3' end, to which the tRNAs corresponding amino acid is attached (by aminoacyl-tRNA synthetases). tRNAs cope with the degeneracy of the genetic code in two manners: having more than one tRNA (with a specific anti-codon) for a particular amino acid; and 'wobble' base-pairing, i.e. permitting non-standard base-pairing at the 3rd anti-codon position. The record is from Rfam by way of RNAcentral. Lineage: Eukaryota; Metazoa; Platyhelminthes; Trematoda; Plagiorchiida; Echinostomatidae.
GGCUUCGUAGCUCAGCUGGUAGAGCAUGCGCGUACAAAGCGUAGGCGGUGACCAUGCGUGGGUUCGAAUCCCACCGAGGCUA